AUCCAGCUAGUGACAAGUCCCAAAUAGGACGAAACGCGUGUCAAACUGUAU
Non-coding RNA from Schistosoma mansoni, 51 nucleotides. NCBI's taxonomy places the organism in Eukaryota, Metazoa, Platyhelminthes, Trematoda, Strigeidida, Schistosomatidae. The record is from Rfam.